Osmia bicornis bicornis is the source of this 424-nucleotide long non-coding RNA. RefSeq lists it as uncharacterized. The record is from RefSeq and is a predicted model, not a curated record. The transcript has 3 exons. NCBI's taxonomy places the organism in Eukaryota, Metazoa, Arthropoda, Insecta, Hymenoptera, Megachilidae.
GAAGUUUCUAUCAAUGGCUGUGAUUGGUCGUCUGUUAUGGCGUCUUCCCAUUUAGACCAAUCAAAUUCAUCGUUGAAAGGGUUGGUGCGCUGAGUGUGGUGGAGUGCGUCAUUUCUCUUCGAAGCUUCGUCCGUUUGGCACGUGUCUGCAACAGGUAUCGGCCGAUAGCAGAAUAUACCGAACAUUGCCGAGUGUUGCCGAAGUGCCGACCGGUCUACGAUGGGAAGGAAGGUCUCGCCAUUGCUCUCUCGAGCGUCGAAGCGAGAAGACGUGUGGUGGUCGUGCUCCCGUAUAAGCAAUACAAAAAUAUUCAUUUGAUUUCAAAAAGGCGCCAUGGGAUACGACACCAUUGAUAUUGGUUCGAAAUAUAAUUUUGUAAAGGGUAUAUAAUAUAAUUGGUAACGUUUUAAUGCUUUUUUUUGAG